This 117-nucleotide ribosomal RNA is filed under the name Clostridia bacterium. The record is from RNAcentral. Lineage: Bacteria; Bacillati; Bacillota; Clostridia.
UCCGGUGACAAUAGCGAAAGGGACCCACCUGUAUCCAUUCCGAACACAGUAGUUAAGCCUUUCAGCGCAGAUGGUACUUGACUGGUAGCGGUCUGGGAGAGUAUGACGUCGCCGGAU